CAUAGAUAAUUAUUUUCCUGCAGGGCACCAUUAGAUGGAAAUAGAAAAGUAGAUAACAUGUAUAUUUGAGAAAUGUAUUAUAUGUUCAAACUUUGUUUGUUAUUUUAAUCACACAGAUCCACGUAUCUAUCUAUUUGCAACAUAUUAAUGUCCCCGUUGCUCAUACAAUGCCGAUGAGUCGCACAAGGUACAGAACCAUAUAGCAAAAGCUGCUAUGGCUCAACAUAACGGUGCAAAGGAUAUCGGCAAUCUUACAGAUGCCUUUGAAUGGACUUGAAGCUGUACUCCAGGAGGUAGUACUAGCACAGGGAGACAAAGCUUACCUCACCCUGGCAUGCCAAGACACACCUUUGCAUCGACCUUCAAGUGCUUUGAAGCCAUUGUGUCUGACCCAGUUUCCGGGAAGAAGACUCACUUUGCUUGGCUGGAUUGUGAGAUCCACUGGGGUAAAUUGUCAGAGUCAUUCAAAGCAGAAAAUCGGAUUCCUUUUGGGGUCGAAACGUGUUCUUCCUGCAACCGGCAAUAUAAAGACUGUGUGGGCUUCACCGGAAAUGGAAGACGAAGAGAGUACCCUCGUUACUACUCUGAUGACAUACCCGGACACUGCCCUGAAUGUUAAUACUGAAUGCAAGAAGAAUAUUAGUUGUUUUCCAUUCUUUUACACAUUUCAGUUGUCACAUAUUGUUGUUCGUUU
Fundulus heteroclitus (mummichog) is the source of this 694-nucleotide long non-coding RNA. RefSeq lists it as uncharacterized. The record is from RefSeq and is a predicted model, not a curated record. Lineage: Eukaryota; Metazoa; Chordata; Actinopteri; Cyprinodontiformes; Fundulidae. The transcript has 4 exons.